This is an RNA transcript of Mus musculus (house mouse), 2267 nucleotides long. It is a transcript of the gene named transcriptional adaptor 2A, with no coding region annotated. Lineage: Eukaryota; Metazoa; Chordata; Mammalia; Rodentia; Muridae. The record is from RefSeq and is marked provisional. The transcript is spliced from 16 exons.
GCACGUGAGUCGAGGCCGCGCACGCAGGCCGCGGCGCGCACGCAGAGUCUGCACAGCGCGCGCAGCGGCGGGCUCUUCGGCGCCGAGGUGCGGGACGUGGCGAGGGGAUCGUGGGAUUGUUUGGCAACGUCUGAAGUCUUGAAACUCUACAUCAAGGGAGAUCAAGCAGCCAUCAGUCAGCUAGAGGAUGGACCGUUUGGGUUCCUUUAGCAAUGACCCAUCUGAUAAGCCGCCCUGCAGAGGCUGCUCCUCCUACCUCACGGAACCUUACAUUAAAUGUGCUGAAUGUGGGCCCCCUCCUUUCUUCCUGUGUUUACAGUGUUUCACUCGAGGAUUUGAGUACAAGAAACAUCAGAGUGAUCACACUUACGAAAUAAUGACCUCAGACUUCCCUGUUCUUGAUCCCAGCUGGACAGCACAAGAAGAAAUGGCCCUUUUAGAAGCUGUAAUGGACUGUGGCUUUGGAAAUUGGCAGGAUGUGGCUAAUCAAAUGUGCACCAAAACCAAGGAGGAGUGUGAGAAGCAUUACAUGAAGCAUUUCAUCAAUAACCCUCUGUUUGCAUCCACCCUGCUGAACCUGAAGCAAGCUGAGGCGGCCAAAGCUGCCGACACAGCCAUUCCAUUUCACUCCGCAGAUGACCCUCCCCGGCCUGCCUUUGACUCAUUGCUGUCUCGGGACAUGGCAGGCUACAUGCCAGCGCGGGCAGAUUUCAUUGAGGAGUUUGACAAUUAUGCAGAAUGGGACUUAAGAGACAUUGAUUUUGUUGAAGACGACUCAGACAUCUUACAUGCUCUGAAGAUGGCUGUGGUGGAUAUCUAUCAUUCCAGGUUAAAAGAGAGGCAAAGAAGAAAAAAGAUUAUAAGAGAUCACGGAUUAGUCAACCUUAGGAAGUUCCGAUUAAUGGAACGGCGGUAUCCCAAGGAGGUCCAAGACCUUUAUGAAACAAUGAGGAGAUUUGCAAGGAUUGUGGGACCCGUGGAGCACGACAAGUUCAUUGAAAGCCAUGCAUUGGAAUUUGAACUCCGAAGGGAAAUCAAGAGGCUCCAAGAAUAUAGGACAGCAGGCAUUACCAAUUUUUGUAGUGCCAGGACAUAUGAUCACCUGAAGAAGACACGCGAGGAGGAGCGCCUUAAACGCACCAUGCUCUCAGAAGUUCUCCAGUACAUCCAGGACAGCAGUGCGUGCCAGCAGUGGCUCCGCCGGCAGGCUGACAUGUGCGCAGUUAGUCAGGGCCGAAGGAAGCACUCCUCUGGCAUACUUUGCCCUUCUCAUAUAUUUGUGGGCAUUUUUUGAUUCUGGGCUGAGUCCUUCUGUUCUGAUGGCUUCUAACUCAGGAAGGCGAAGUGCACCACCAUUGAACCUCACGGGUCUCCCUGGUACAGAGAAACUCAAUGAAAAGGAAAAGGAGCUCUGUCAGGUGGUGAGGUUGGUACCUGGAGCCUACUUGGAAUAUAAGUCUGCUCUAUUGAACGAGUGUCACAAGCAAGGAGGCUUGAGACUGGCACAAGCAAGGGCACUCAUCAAGAUAGACGUGAACAAAACCCGGAAAAUCUAUGACUUCCUCAUCCGAGAAGGGUACAUCACGAAAGCCUGAGACUCUGCUCCAUAGUGCAGGCCAGCGUGAAGGAAUGUGAACAGUCAGAGGGCAAUGUACACAUUCCGGAGACUUGUGUUGGAUUCUUGCUGUGAGAAGAAGGAGAGACACUGGGAGUCUAAGGAUGAUGACCGCUUUCUUCUCUGCCCUCUGUAAAGCGCUGCUUGCUGUUGUCAGGAUAGUGCGUCAGAGUGUGUGUUCGCCAAGUUAUUAUUAAACACCAGUGGGCAUUUGUUCCUAGCAGCUCUUGUAAGUCAAACAAGAACCACGGGCCCUCGCAUCAUGGCUUUGGUGGAAGGAGAAGGGACCCAGGCCACAGCAUUUCACCCCAAGAGGCCAGCUCAGAUCCAUGCACUAGAGAGUAAAGUUCCCACACUCACUCUGCCUUCCCCUCUUGCAGGCAGAUUUUAAAUGAAAGUUUUUAGAGCACAGGAAAGCCUUUUCUUCCAAGGAGUUUUUCUUUUUUUAUGCUGACAUCUUAGUUUAUGAGAUGAAGAGGUGGAGCUCUCCCCCAUGAUGGUCUGUCUGAAACUUCAUUUUAACUGUAAUGUCUAGCUUUGUACUUUGCAGUCUGGCUGUCUGAUGUGCAGUCGACUCUUGAGGAGGUGGCACCGGAUAUAAAAUGUCUCUGUUAUUUUUAGAAUUAAUGGAUUAAAAUGUUUUGCUAUUUAA